GAAAAAAUAUGCCAUAGAUCGAAAAUAAUUUUUUAAUCGAUUUUUCUUAGGUCAGCAUCGUCAGUUUCACGUUGUACUAACCAACAAUAUUCUGCCAUCACACUUAUUUAUUAUACCCUGAACAGGGUAUAUUAAGUUUGUCACGAAGUUUGUAACACCCAGAAUUAAGCGUCGGAGACCCUAUAAAAAGCUGAUCAUUUGUCUAAACUGCCGAUGUCGGACCACUAUAACAUAUAGCUGCCAUACAAACUGAACGAUCGGAAUCAAGUUCUUGUAUGGAAAACUUUCACAUUUGACAAUAAAUUCUUCAGAUCGGCUUACUAAAUGCAUAUGAUAUAUGCAGCUGCUAUACAAACUGAACUAUCGGAAUCUAGUAUUAUUUUCUAAGGCAACAAUGUUAUCUCCGAAGAAAUUGUUCAGAUCGGUUAAGCUGCCAUACAAACUGAAUGAUCGGAAUCAAAUGCUUGCAUGGCAAACUUCCUCAUUUGACGUGGUAUCUUCACGAAAUUUGAUAUGAGAUAUUGUUCAUAGAAAUAAUGUAAAAUCGGAAGAAAUUGUUCAGAUCGGCUCAAUAUAGCAUUUGGCUGCCAUACAAAUCGAACGAUCGGAAUCAAGGGCUUGUAUGGAAAACUUUCGCAUUUGACGUGGUAUCUUCACGAAAUUUGACAUGGAUUACUGCUUAAGGUAAUAACAUACAAUCUCCGAAAAUUGUUCAGAUCGGAUUUCUAAAUCAUAUAGCUUCCAUACAAAUUGAACCCAUAGUUACUAAAAUAAAUGCACCUGUGAAGGGUAUAUUAGCAGCCGAAGUUAACGUUUCUUCUUGCUUUUUUUCUUCAAAACGUUUUUCGAUCACCUUUAAGUUUUAUUAAGGCAUCUAUUUUUAAUUCGA
Molecule: long non-coding RNA, 889 nt
Organism: Bactrocera neohumeralis
Lineage: Eukaryota; Metazoa; Arthropoda; Insecta; Diptera; Tephritidae
Exons: 4
Source: RefSeq, a predicted model, not a curated record